AGUGAACGCUGGCGGUAGGCCUAACACAUGCAAGUCGAACGGCAGCACAGUAAGAGCUUGCUCUUACGGGAGGCGAGUGGCGGACGGGUGAGGAAUACAUAGGAAUGUACUUUUUCGUGGGGGAUAACGUAGGGAAACUUACGCUAAUACCGCAUACGACCUACGGGUGAAAGCAGGGGAUCUUCGGACCUUGCGCGAAUGAAUGAGCCGAUGUCGGAUUAGCUGGUUGGCGGGGUAAAGGCCCACCAAGGAGACGAUCCGUAGCUGGUCUGAGAGGAUGAUCGGCCACACUAGAACUGAGUCACGCUCCAGACUCCUACGGGAGGCAGCAGUGGGGAAUAUUGGACAAUGGGCGCAAGCCUGUUCCAGCCAUACCGCGUGGGUCAAGAAGGCCUUCGGGUUGUAAAGCCCUUUUGUUGGGAAAGAAAAGCAGCAGGUUAAUACCCCGCUGUUCUGACGGUACCCAAAGAAUAAGCACCGGCUAACUUCGUG
Molecule: ribosomal RNA, 492 nt
Filed under: uncultured bacterium
Lineage: Bacteria
Description: partial 16S ribosomal RNA
Rfam family: Bacterial small subunit ribosomal RNA
Source: RNAcentral